AACUGAGCUGUGUAAAUGUGACUUUACCCCACUCAAGAAUCAGAGUCUCCCAAACGUUGUUGGGGUUGCUAGGCAACGCCCCGAGAUUACAUCACUCACACAAGCGGAGCUGCCUGCAAUGUCAUCUCUGCAUGGUUACAGCACUUCUGUGGAGAGGCUGGCCCCAUGACUCUCUACCCGGCCCUGCUGAUCCUGCGACCCCAGCCUGGGUAAUCCUCUGAUAACAACUCCUCUCUGGUGUGCGAUCUGUCAGGACGUAUAGCUCAUUCCUACGCCACAGCCUUUGCACUCAGCACUCCCUGAAUCCUCUCCAGGCAUCCACUAGCCCUCCACCAGCUCACUCUCUGACUCUCUGGGCUCCCAGCUCUGAUAUCCAUCCUCACAGUCUGGCCUCCCCAGCUCCACCCACUCCUAGCUUGAUUUGCUGUGUGACUUGUCUCUUACGUCAGGAACUGAGUUCUCUGCCUAUGGGUUUGCCGAGUUCCAUCACUAUCUUGGAGUCCAAGGAAGAAGUAGAAAGUUCCAUCUCCUUGUCUGUGUCCAACAUGGAGUGGUUAGCUUAGUAACGAUAGGUAGACGUUCAGAUGGCUUUAGAACAUGCAGGGAAAGGACAUCUCAACACUGUCCCCAGACAAAGCAGGACAAUGGCUCUCUCUCUUUUCAGUUCCUGGGAGGUUCCCAAGGUCACGUGUAACUUGGUGCUACUCUUUCCUUGAUGUAGUGUCACAAGGGAACCAGUGAGGAAAGAAAACAGACAUGCUAGGUACUGGCGUUUGUUUUGAGGUGUGUGAUGCUGCCCACUGUGAAGAAAAUUUGCUGGGCAUAGCUCCACCUCCUCCCCUUCCCCUCCUCCCUCCCUCCCCUCCUCCCCCUCCUCCCCCUCCCCUCUCCCUCCCCUCUCCUUCCCCCUCUCCUUCCCCUCCCCUCCUCCCCCUCCUUCCCCUCCUCUCCUCCUCCCUCUUUCCCCAGGAUCUCUUUAAAUUGUCUAGGUUGCUAUCCAACUUCUGGGCUCAAGCAAUCCUCCUGCCUUAGCCUCUUAAAUAGAUGUGCACUCAGGUUAGGGUUAUAGCUUCAAAUUUUUGACCAAGAGCCUGAAGGGAUAAAGUGCUUUACAUAGUAAGAGCAAGGUAUGGACAAGACACAAGGGGCAGGGACACCCUGGCCUGGAGUGUGUGCAUGUGUGGAUGUGUGUAUGAGUGUGUGUGUACUUGUGUGUACUGUGUACAUGUGUGAGUACAUGCAUGUGUCUGUGUGAGUGUGUGUACAUGUGUGAGUACAUGUGUGUGUGAGUAUGUGUCUGUGUGUAUGAGUGUGUGAGUGUGUACAUGUGUGUGUAUGCAUGAGUGUGUGUACAUGUAUGAGUACAUGUGUGUCUGUGUGUAUAAGUGUGUGUAUAAGUGUGUGAGUGUGUACAUGUGUGUGUACAUGUGUGAGUAUGUGUGUGUAUGUGUCUGUGUGUGUAUGAGUGGGUGAGCCUGUGAGUGUGUGUGUGUGUGAGUGUGUGAGUGUGUGUCUACACUAUAGUGAGCCUUGGAUGAUGACAACCACAGACUCCAAGGCAGAAGACUCAUGGGUAACUCUGGUAAGGAAAGUCCUCUGUCCCCAUCGCUUUGGUGAGCCCAACUUUCCAUAGUCCUAGGACUGUUCUCAGCAGGCCAGAGAGCAUGGAGGGGCCUAUAUAAACAUGGGGCUUAUAUAAACUGCAUGCUCCUUAUAUACACAGCCCAUCGUCGAUGCCGUCACUGCUGCCAAGGUCUCACCAGACAUGGCAUUCAUACACCCAGAAUGACAACAGUGGGGACUCAGCUAAAGGACUCGUCACCAAUUGCACUCAGCCAGGGCAUGGGGGCUCAUGAGGCCCUGGUAGGAACUUUGGAGCUACAAGGUCCCAUACUGGGAAAGGACCUGAGAGAAGGCAUGCCCAGUGGCUUCAGAUUCCCCAUGGCUGUGUGUAGUGACACUCUGCUGGCUCUCCUUUUGGCCAGACCGAGAAUACCUGCUGGAUUUGGAAACUGAGUCCCAGCUUCUCCAUCAUGUUAUCUAUGAGUCUUUCCACUCAUGGGGCUGAAAUGCUCUGCAGGGGUUAAGAGCAAAGCCUGAGAAAGCUGACUCUCCACUUCCCUUCCUCUCCCUUGCAUGAAGCCUGAAUGGUGCCAAUCUGCUCCCAGACCUGCUUGGGAAAUGCUCUGGCAGGGAGAACUUGGCACACGCUGGCUGUAAGCAGGGCAAAGAUCUUCCCAGCCUCGGCUCCCAGAUUUGCAGCCACUGCCAAUGCUGCUCGCCCAGACCCUCUGACAUACAUGAUUUUGCUUCUAGCAGGCUAGGGGUCCCUGCCCAGCCCAUUGCAUCUAAGCCAAGUUGUGCUAUUUGUUGGAGGGUUCCAGGUCUACCCUGUGAUUGGGAUUCUCCUCCUUUCUACCACAAGCCAACCCAACCAUAUCGCCAGUGUGUGACCAGCUAGGCCAUAGCCUGGGGAGGCUGACUACAGUGUGCUAUGCUGGGUGCUGCUUGGGACCGGCAGAGCAGGGACUCUGAGGCCCUGAUGGUUGAAUGAUAACAACCUGUUGGAAGUGGUUCUUCACAGGCCUUCAUGGCCAAGGCAGACAUUGAGGCCUUCAUGGCCAAGGCAGACAUUGAAACUCAAGUCGGGAGACAGAAAGAAAGCUGGAAAGUUCUAGAAUGCUAACCAGGCAUGGUGGCACAUACCAGCACCUAAGGGAUGGAGAUGGGAGGAGGUCAAGUCAGCUUUGAAUACAUAUUGAGUUUGAAGCUAGUCUGGGCUACAGGAGAUUCUGUCAAAAAGCCAAAGAACCCCAAAAGUUCUAAUGGGGUUGGGAAAGUGUCUCAGUGGAGAAGAGAGCUCACUGUCUAAGCCUUGGGACCUGCAUCUGAAUCCCCGGCAGCCAUGUAAAAACUGGUCAUGGCCGUGCAUGUUUAUAACCCCAGUAUUGAGGAGGAGGAGGAGACAGAAGGUCCUGAGAGCCUGGGACCCAGUCAGCCUAACAGAGGAGGGGGACUUUUAGUUCCAUGAGAGACCCUGACUCAAGGCAAUAAGACAACAAGCAACAGAGGAUGAACCUUGUGUGGUGGGAGUGGCACUCUUAGGAGGUGUGGCCUUGUUGGAGGAAGUGUGUCACUGUGGGGUGGGCUUUGAGAUUUCUCCUCCCAGCCGACCACAGACAAUUUCUCUUGGCUGCAGUCGGAUCAAGACGUAGAACUCUCAGCUCCUUCUCCAUGUCUACCUGGAUGCCGCCAUGCUUCCCACGUUGAUGAUAAUGGACUGAACCUCUGAACCUGUAAACCAGCCCCAAUUAAAUGUUGUCCUUAUAAGA
Non-coding RNA from Rattus norvegicus (Norway rat), 3332 nucleotides. Lineage: Eukaryota; Metazoa; Chordata; Mammalia; Rodentia; Muridae. The record is from RefSeq and is a predicted model, not a curated record.